GGGUUGUGAGGUUAAGCGACUAAGCGUACACGGUGGAUGCCCUGGCAGUCAGAGGCGAUGAAGGGCGUGCUAAUCUGCGAUAAGCGCCGGUAAGGUGAUAUGAACCGUUAUAACCGGCGAUACCCGAAUGGGGAAACCCAGUGUGACUCGUCACACUAUCAUUAACUGAAUCCAUAGGUUAAUGAGGCGAACCGGGGGAACUGAAACAUCUAAGUACCCCGAGGAAAAGAAAUCAACCGAGAUUCCCCCAGUAGCGGCGAGCGAACGGGGAGGAGCCCAGAGCCUGAAUCAGCAUGUGUGUUAGUGGAAGCGUCUGGAAAGGCGCGCGAUACAGGGUGACAGCCCCGUACACAAAAGCGCAUGUGCUGUGAGCUCGAUGAGUAGGGCGGGACACGUGGUAUCCUGUCUGAAUAUGGGGGGACCAUCCUCCAAGGCUAAAUACUCCUGACUGACCGAUAGUGAACCAGUACCGUGAGGGAAAGGCGAAAAGAACCCCGGCGAGGGGAGUGAAAAAGAACCUGAAACCGUGUACGUACAAGCAGUGGGAGCACCCUUUGGGUGUGACUGCGUACCUUUUGUAUAAUGGGUCAGCGACUUAUAUUCUGUAGCAAGGUUAACCGAAUAGGGGAGCCGGAGGGAAACCGAGUCUUAAUUGGGCGUUAAGUUGCAGGGUAUAGACCCGAAACCCGGUGAUCUAGCCAUGGGCAGGUUGAAGGUUGGGUAACACUAACUGGAGGACCGAACCGACUAAUGUUGAAAAAUUAGCGGAUGACCUGUGGCUGGGGGUGAAAGGCCAAUCAAACCGGGAGAUAGCUGGUUCUCCCCGAAAGCUAUUUAGGUAGCGCCUCGUGAAUUCAUCUCCGGGGGUAGAGCACUGUUUCGGCUAGGGGGCCAUCCCGGCUUACCAACCCGAUGCAAACUGCGAAUACCGGAGAAUGUUAUCACGGGAGACACACGGCGGGUGCUAACGUCCGUCGUGAAGAGGGAAACAACCCAGACCGCCAGCUAAGGUCCCAAAGUCAUGGUUAAGUGGGAAACGAUGUGGGAAGGCCCAGACAGCCAGGAUGUUGGCUUAGAAGCAGCCAUCAUUUAAAGAAAGCGUAAUAGCUCACUGGUCGAGUCGGCCUGCGCGGAAGAUGUAACGGGGCUAAACCAUGCACCGAAGCUGCGGCAGCGACGCUUAUGCGUUGUUGGGUAGGGGAGCGUUCUGUAAGCCUGCGAAGGUGGCCUGUGAGGGUUGCUGGAGGUAUCAGAAGUGCGAAUGCUGACAUAAGUAACGAUAAAGCGGGUGAAAAGCCCGCUCGCCGGAAGACCAAGGGUUCCUGUCCAACGUUAAUCGGGGCAGGGUGAGUCGACCCCUAAGGCGAGGCCGAAAGGCGUAGUCGAUGGGAAACGGGUUAAUAUUCCCGUACUUGGUGUUACUGCGAAGGGGGGACGGAGAAGGCUAUGUUGGCCGGGCGACGGUUGUCCCGGUUUAAGCGUGUAGGCUGGUUUUCCAGGCAAAUCCGGAAAAUCAAGGCUGAGGCGUGAUGACGAGGCACUACGGUGCUGAAGCAACAAAUGCCCUGCUUCCAGGAAAAGCCUCUAAGCAUCAGGUAACAUCAAAUCGUACCCCAAACCGACACAGGUGGUCAGGUAGAGAAUACCAAGGCGCUUGAGAGAACUCGGGUGAAGGAACUAGGCAAAAUGGUGCCGUAACUUCGGGAGAAGGCACGCUGACACGUAGGUGAAGUGAUUUACUCACGGAGCUGAAGUCAGUCGAAGAUACCAGCUGGCUGCAACUGUUUAUUAAAAACACAGCACUGUGCAAACACGAAAGUGGACGUAUACGGUGUGACGCCUGCCCGGUGCCGGAAGGUUAAUUGAUGGGGUCAGCGCAAGCGAAGCUCCUGAUCGAAGCCCCGGUAAACGGCGGCCGUAACUAUAACGGUCCUAAGGUAGCGAAAUUCCUUGUCGGGUAAGUUCCGACCUGCACGAAUGGCGUAAUGAUGGCCAGGCUGUCUCCACCCGAGACUCAGUGAAAUUGAACUCGCUGUGAAGAUGCAGUGUACCCGCGGCAAGACGGAAAGACCCCGUGAACCUUUACUAUAGCUUGACACUGAACAUUGAGCCUUGAUGUGUAGGAUAGGUGGGAGGCUUUGAAGUGUGGACGCCAGUCUGCAUGGAGCCGACCUUGAAAUACCACCCUUUAAUGUUUGAUGUUCUAACGUGGACCCGUUACCCGGGUUGCGGACAGUGUCUGGUGGGUAGUUUGACUGGGGCGGUCUCCUCCUAAAGAGUAACGGAGGAGCACGAAGGUUGGCUAAUCCUGGUCGGACAUCAGGAGGUUAGUGCAAUGGCAUAAGCCAGCUUGACUGCGAGCGUGACGGCGCGAGCAGGUGCGAAAGCAGGUCAUAGUGAUCCGGUGGUUCUGAAUGGAAGGGCCAUCGCUCAACGGAUAAAAGGUACUCCGGGGAUAACAGGCUGAUACCGCCCAAGAGUUCAUAUCGACGGCGGUGUUUGGCACCUCGAUGUCGGCUCAUCACAUCCUGGGGCUGAAGUAGGUCCCAAGGGUAUGGCUGUUCGCCAUUUAAAGUGGUACGCGAGCUGGGUUUAGAACGUCGUGAGACAGUUCGGUCCCUAUCUGCCGUGGGCGCUGGAGAACUGAGGGGGGCUGCUCCUAGUACGAGAGGACCGGAGUGGACGCAUCACUGGUGUUCGGGUUGUCAUGCCAAUGGCACUGCCCGGUAGCUAAAUGCGGAAGAGAUAAGUGCUGAAAGCAUCUAAGCACGAAACUUGCCCCGAGAUGAGUUCUCCCUGAGACUUAAAGUCUCCUGAAGGAACGUUGAAGACGACGACGUUGAUAGGCCG
Molecule: ribosomal RNA, 2850 nt
Filed under: Salmonella enterica subsp. enterica
Lineage: Bacteria; Pseudomonadati; Pseudomonadota; Gammaproteobacteria; Enterobacterales; Enterobacteriaceae
Description: partial 23S ribosomal RNA
Rfam family: Bacterial large subunit ribosomal RNA
Source: RNAcentral